GAUGAACGCUAGCGGCAGGCUUAACACAUGCAAGUCGAGGGGCAACACGGGUAGCAAUACCUGGUGGCGACCGGCGCAAGGGUGCGUAACGCGUGAGCAACAUGCCCUAUACAGGGGGAUAAUCCAGGGAAACUUGGUCUAAUAUCCCAUAGUAUUUAGAGGAGGCAUCUUCUAUAAAUUAAAGCUUCGGUGGUAUAGGAUUGGCUCGCGUGACAUUAGCUAGAUGGUGAGGUAACGGCUCACCAUGGCAAUGAUGUCUAGGGGUUCUGAGAGGAAGGCCCCCCACACUGGGACUGAGACACGGCCCAGACUCCUACGGGAGGCAGCAGUGAGGAAUAUUGGACAAUGGAUGGAAAUCUGAUCCAGCCAUGCCGCGUGCAGGAAGACAGCCCUAUGGGUUGUAAACUGCUUUUAUAUGGGAGCAAUAAGGUCUACGUGUAGACUGAUGAGAGUACCAUAUGAAUAAGCAUC
Molecule: ribosomal RNA, 471 nt
Filed under: uncultured bacterium
Lineage: Bacteria
Description: bacterial SSU rRNA
Rfam family: Bacterial small subunit ribosomal RNA
Source: RNAcentral